This 459-nucleotide ribosomal RNA is filed under the name uncultured bacterium. RNAcentral describes it as "partial 16S ribosomal RNA". It matches the Rfam family "Bacterial small subunit ribosomal RNA", at positions 338 to 795 of the family's 1533-position model. The record is from RNAcentral.
CCUACGGGUGGCAGCAGUGAGGAAUAUUGGUCAAUGGCCGAGAGGCUGAACCAGCCAAGUCGCGUGAGGGAAGACGGCCCUACGGGUUGUAAACCUCUUUUGUCGGGGAGCAAAGCGAGUCACGUGUGACUCAUUGAGAGUACCCGAAGAAAAAGCAUCGGCUAACUCCGUGCCAGCAGCCGCGGUAAUACGGAGGAUGCGAGCGUUAUCCGGAUUUAUUGGGUUUAAAGGGUGCGCAGGCGGAGGUGCAAGUCAGCGGUCAAAUUGCGGGGCUCAACCCCGUACUGCCGUUGAAACUGCAUCCCUUGAGUGCGCGAGAAGUAUGCGGAAUGCGUGGUGUAGCGGUGAAAUGCGUAGAUAUUAGGAGGAACACCAGUGGCGAAGGCGGCCUGCUGGACGACAACUGACGGUGAGGCGCGAAAGCGUGGGGAGCAAACAGGAUUAGAUACCCGGGUAGUC